This 370-nucleotide RNase P RNA is filed under the name Gammaproteobacteria bacterium. RNAcentral's name for it is "RNase P RNA component class A". It matches the Rfam family "Bacterial RNase P class A". From Rfam's summary of the family: Ribonuclease P (RNase P) is a ubiquitous endoribonuclease, found in archaea, bacteria and eukarya as well as chloroplasts and mitochondria. The record is from RNAcentral. RNAcentral also lists the same sequence under 1 other name. Lineage: Bacteria; Pseudomonadati; Pseudomonadota; Gammaproteobacteria.
GAAGUCGGCCAGACAAUCGCUGUAUCAAUCAUUGAUACAGAGGAAAGUCCGGGCUCCAUAGAGCGGAGCGCCAGGUAACGCCUGGGAGGUGAAAGUCUUGAGAGAUAUAAGCCUAUGGAUAGUGCCGCAGAAAAUAUACCGCCUAAGUACGGAUUCCGUACCGGUAAGGGUGAAAUGGUGCGGUAAGAGCGCACCGCACAACAGGUAACUGUUUGUGGCAAGGUAAACCCCGCUUGGAGCAAGACCAAAUAGGAGAGCUACAGGAGCUGCUCGCUCUGCUCUCGGGUAGGUUGCUUGAGGUGCGUGGCGACAUGCAUCCCAGAUGAAUGGUUGUCCUCGACAGAACCCGGCUUAUCGGCCGACUUCCACC